RNAcentral lists this ribosomal RNA (417 nucleotides) under Triticum aestivum (bread wheat). Its description in RNAcentral is "partial small subunit ribosomal RNA". The record is from RNAcentral. Lineage: Eukaryota; Viridiplantae; Streptophyta; Magnoliopsida; Poales; Poaceae.
AUGGCAAAAGCACCCAUGGACACGCUUCAACUCUCCUGCAUCCAGAUAGCCAUAGCCUUUCUCUUGUUCACUCAUGCCAAUAGCACCAGAGAGGACACAUCUCCCCUGCAUCCAAACAAUACGGUCACUAGCUGUAUUGCUGGUGAGAGGUCUGCCCUUCUCGCCUUCAGGGCAGGUCUAUCAGACCCUGCCAACCUCCUUUCAUCAUGGAAGGGUGCUGACUGUUGCAGAUGGAAGGGCGUGUAUUGCCGCAACAGAACCGGCCAUGUUGUCAGGCUGGAUCUGCAAGGCACUUAUUGCAACGGUGAUUGGAUGAGAUACGAAUAUAUGGUAUCAGGCAGAAUAAGCUCCUCAUUACUUGGUUUACAGCAUCUACAAUAUCUCGAUCUCACACUACCAGAAAAACUUGUUUUGCCG